UCUUUGAACUACGAAUUCAAAAGGUAUUUGAUUAAUUGAUAUUUCUAUGUAUAAUCACAGCUAUUAAGUGAGACUAUUAGUCUAUUAACUGCAUGUUGUAUUAAUUUAUAUGAAUAGCCAUCUGCGUCACUCCUUUCGGAAUUAUUAAAAAGUGGUUUCCCUGUGUCAAGUGCUAAAAUGCAUUCCAUUCCAUAUACUCCACGCCUCAGGUUACAAAAUAUGUUGAUUGUUGGCGUAUACAGGGUGAGUAAAAAAAACUGACAUCUAUGCGGCUAAUUUGAAUAUCAAAGGUAUCUGUUAGAAUAUGCUCCUGAUAUUCUGUUGACAAUGAUAAUAAGAUUAUUAGUUAAUGAAUGACAUUGAUUACUAUAGAUAUGUAUGUAAAAUGUAAUCUCUGGAUACCACAAAUUCCAGUACAAAUAGUUGCUCCAUGUACCAAACUGUAUACCAUUUAUGGUAAUAGAAUGUGAUAUGUCAAAAUACUUAUUAUAGAUAUAAUCUUGUAUAUAUAUGUGUGAUUUUUAUUAUUAAAUACAUUCUUUUGUAAAACUCCAAAGUUGUAUGUUGUGCUUCGUAUUCGAGAAAGAGCGAUGGCAACGGUACAAAACCCAAC
Non-coding RNA from Paramuricea clavata, 613 nucleotides. The record is from the annotation of a GenBank genome assembly. Lineage: Eukaryota; Metazoa; Cnidaria; Anthozoa; Malacalcyonacea; Plexauridae.